RNAcentral lists this ribosomal RNA (253 nucleotides) under uncultured bacterium. RNAcentral's name for it is "partial 16S ribosomal RNA". It matches the Rfam family "Bacterial small subunit ribosomal RNA", at positions 524 to 776 of the family's 1533-position model. The record is from RNAcentral.
UACAGAGGGUGCGAGCGUUGUUCGGAAUUACUGGGCGUAAAGGGCUCGUAGGCGGCCAACUAAGUCGGAUGUGAAAUCCCCAGGCUUAACCUGGGAACUGCAUCCGAUACUGGAUGGCUUGAAUCCGGGAGAGGGAUGCAGAAUUCCAGGUGUAGCGGUGAAAUGCGUAGAUAUCUGGAGGAAUACCGGUGGCGAAGGCGGCAUCCUGGACCGGCAUUGACGCUGAGGAGCGAAAGCUAGGGGAGCAAACGGG